CACUCCUGCGGGAGGCAGCAGUGGGGAAUUUUGGACAAUGGGCGAAAGCCUGAUCCAGCAAUGCCGCGUGCAGGAUGAAGGCCUUCGGGUUGUAAACUGCUUUUGUACGGAACGAAAAAGCUCCUUCUAAUACAGGGGGCCCAUGACGGUACCGUAAGAAUAAGCACCGGCUAACUACGUGCCAGCAGCCGCGGUAAUACGUAGGGUGCGAGCGUUAAUCGGAAUUACUGGGCGUAAAGCGUGCGCAGGCGGUUAUGUAAGACAGAUGUGAAAUCCCCGGGCUCAACCUGGGAACUGCAUUUGUGACUGCAUGGCUAGAGUACGGUAGAGGGGGAUGGAAUUCCGCGUGUAGCAGUGAAAUGCGUAGAUAUGCGGAGGAACACCGAUGGCGAAGGCAAUCCCCUGGACCUGUACUGACGCUCAUGCACGAAAGCGUGGGGAGCAAACAGUAUUAGAUACCCCUGUAGUCCCAU
Molecule: ribosomal RNA, 473 nt
Filed under: uncultured organism
Description: partial 16S ribosomal RNA
Rfam family: Bacterial small subunit ribosomal RNA
Source: RNAcentral